Molecule: ribosomal RNA, 305 nt
Filed under: uncultured bacterium
Lineage: Bacteria
Description: partial 16S ribosomal RNA
Rfam family: Bacterial small subunit ribosomal RNA
Source: RNAcentral
ACAGCAGUCGCCACGGUAACACGGAGGGUGCAAGCGUUAAUCGGAAUUACUGGGCGUAAAGCGCACGCAGGCGGUCUGACAAGUCAGAUGUGAAAUCCCCGGGCUUAACCUGGGAACUGCAUUUGAAACUGUCAGGCUGGAGUCUUGUAGAGGGGGGUGGAAUUCCAGGUGUAGCGGUGAAAUGCGUAGAGAUCUGGAGGAAUACCGGUGGCGAAGGCGGCCCCCUGGACAAAGACUGACGCUCAGGUGCGAAAGCGUGGGGAGCAAACAGGAUUAGAUACUCCUGUAGUCCCUGUCUCUUAUAC